GACGAACACUGGCGGCGUGCCUAAUACAUGCAAGUAGAACGCACAGUUUAUACCGUAGCUUGCUACACCAUAGACUGUGAGUUGCGAACGGGUGAGUAACGCGUAGGUAACCUGCCUGGUAGCGGGGGAUAACUAUUGGAAACGAUAGCUAAUACCGCAUAAUAUUGAUUAUUGCAUGAUAAUUGAUUGAAAGAUGCUAUUGCAUCACUACCAGAUGGACCUGCGUUGUAUUAGCUAGUAGGUGAGGUAACGGCUCACCUAGGCGACGAUACAUAGCCGACCUGAGAGGGUGAUCGGCCACACUGGGACUGAGACACGGCCCAGACUCCUACGGGAGGCAGCAGUAGGGAAUCUUCGGCAAUGGACGAAAGUCUGACCGAGCAACGCCGCGUGAGUGAAGAAGGUUUUCGGAUCGUAAAGCUCUGUUGUAAGAGAAGAACGGGUGUGAGAGUGGAAAGUUCACACUGUGACGGUAUCUUACCAGAAAGGGACGGCUAACUACGU
This 504-nucleotide ribosomal RNA is filed under the name uncultured bacterium. Its description in RNAcentral is "partial 16S ribosomal RNA". It matches the Rfam family "Bacterial small subunit ribosomal RNA", at positions 28 to 506 of the family's 1533-position model. The record is from RNAcentral.